Molecule: RNA transcript, 5222 nt
Organism: Manis pentadactyla (Chinese pangolin)
Lineage: Eukaryota; Metazoa; Chordata; Mammalia; Pholidota; Manidae
Gene: SLC30A7
Gene name: solute carrier family 30 member 7
Exons: 12
Source: RefSeq, a predicted model, not a curated record
GCCGGAAGUCGGCGAGUUCUCGAGUGUGUGUCUGUCUGUGUCCCCAAGCGGCGCGCGGCCGGAGACAAGCGCUGGGGAUUCCCAUCUGAGGCGUCACUACUGUCACUACCAUCACCCACGGAGCCACUUCUAGAGGGGAGUAGACCUGGGCUUUAGCCGGGCAGAGAAGAUGUUGCCCCUGUCCAUCAAGGACGAUGAAUACAAACCACCCAAGUUCAAUCUGUUCGGCAAGAUCUCAGGCUGGUUUAGGUCUAUCCUGUCGGACAAGACGUCCCGGAACCUGUUUUUCUUCCUGUGCCUGAACCUCUCUUUCGCUUUUGUUGAACUACUCUACGGCAUCUGGAGCAACUGCUUAGGCUUGAUUUCCGACUCUUUUCACAUGUUUUUCGAUAGCACUGCCAUUUUGGCUGGAUUGGCAGCAUCUGUUAUUUCAAAAUGGAGAGAUAAUGAUGCUUUCUCUUAUGGGUAUGUUAGAGCGGAAGUUCUGGCUGGCUUUGUCAAUGGCCUAUUUUUGAUCUUCACUGCUUUUUUUAUUUUCUCAGAAGGAGUUGAGAGAGCAUUAGCCCCUCCAGAUGUACAUCAUGAGAGACUGCUUCUUGUUUCAAUUCUUGGGUUUGUGGUAAACCUAAUAGGAAUAUUUGUUUUCAAGCAUGGAGGUCAUGGACAUUCUCAUGGCUCUGGCCAUGGACAUAGUCAUUCCCUCUUUAAUGGUGCUCUAGAUCAGGUACAUGGACAUGGAGAGCAUUGCCAUAGUCAUGAACUGAAACAUGGUGCUGCACAUAGCCAUGAUCAUGCUCAUGGCCAUGGACACUUUCAUUCUCACGAUGGUCCCUCCUUUAAAGAAACAGCAGGACCCAGCAGACAGAUUUUACAAGGUGUAUUUUUACACAUUCUGGCAGAUACACUUGGGAGUAUUGGUGUAAUUGCCUCUGCCAUCAUGAUGCAAAAUUUUGGUUUGAUGAUAGCAGAUCCUAUUUGUUCAAUCCUGAUAGCCAUGCUAAUAGUUAUAAGUCUGCCUCAAGCAGUAGAGCAAUGCCUUAACCAUGCUGACUCAGUGGAAUCACCUGGCAAGCUUUUAAAAAACCGUUAUUCCUCUUUUAAAAGAGUCUGCUGGGAUAUUAAUGCAGAGAACUCCUCCCUUGUUGGAAAAUACUCUGCCUCAGUGCUAUCAGAGGGUGCAGCAGUUGCAAGGAGUUUACAAUUUACAAGAACAGCACUUCUGGACCUUAUGUUCUGACGUUUAUGUUGGGACCUUGAAAUUAGUAGUAGCACCUGAUGCUGAUGCCAGGUGGAUUUUAAGCCAAACACAUAAUAUUUUUACACAGGCUGGAGUGAGACAGCUUUAUGUACAGAUUGACUUUGCGGCCAUGUAAUGAAUGAAAAGAAAUUAUGCUUUUUGGGGGACCUAGUUUUUGGAUUGGUACUGCACAAUCCAAAACAUUGUACCUAACUUUUUAAAAUAGACAAAUCAUCACUGCACCUUCCCAGCACCAGCUAGACCGGGCAGUCAGCUGUGUGUUCUCUGAUGCGAGUUCACAGCUAAGGGAUCAGAAUUAAGAGGAUCUCUCCUGGACUUUUGGUCUUGUCUUUUGUGCUCUUCCCUCCAAACCAUUUUGAUUUCUGAGGUUUUUAGUUUUAUUCCAAGAGGUUGUUUUUCUUUCUUUUUUUUUUUUGUCCGUAUUUCAAAUGCCCUUACUCCUAUCCUCUCCUAACCAGUAAAAAAAUCAAGAUCGUAGGCCUCUGGUUAUCUGGAAUGUCAUCACUGAAGCUGCUGGAAACCACUGCUUUCAUUCCCACAAAACUAGUGUUAUUUAAAAAAAAAAAAAAAAAAAAGGAAAUCUGUUUUAUAUGUAAUGUCACAAUUGUUGACGUUCUUCAGUAUAAUCAUAUGUUUGUAAAAUUGUUUGUACCUUGCAAACUUAUGAACCAAACCAUAUUGGGUUUUCAAAGUGCCUUUGUAUCUGAAAAUGUAUUUGCCAGCAUAGAAAUGUAUCAUCAAAGGUCAUAUAUGUUUUUUUUAAUGAAUAUUCUAUAAUUUGUACAAAAUAAGAUUCACAUUAGUGUAUAAAGAUUGUCUUUUUAUGUACUUCCAGCUUAGGUUUAAGUAUAUGAUAAUUUUCCUUUUAGUGCUUUAUCAUAAAAAAAUUAAAGGUGUCAUUUUGCUUUUUAAAUCAAAUUCAAUUAUCACAUUAAAUUCUUUUGCGGCCUGUGUUUUCAAACCUUUGCAAAUUCAUCUGAUAAAGACAGUUGUUUUGAUUUCCUUGAAAUUCCAAAUUUCUAUAAAAACUACUGUAUCUAAGGUAAACAUCUAUCUCUUCUUGCCAUUUAUGGAUUUUAUUAGUGAAAGGAAAAAACAAUGUAGAGUGAAGGCAGACAUAGUUGUGACAAUGUUAUUUUACUUUUUCAUUCUUCAAAAUGCCAAGUCAUUUGGUUUGUUUUCUGGUGCAAGCAUUGCAUAAAUACAGUUGCUUUCAGGAAUCUUAAAGCAGCAUUUUAUUGCAUUUGAACUAUGAAAGGUAUAGAGAAAAUGUGGUAAUAUGGAACUCUUCCUAACCCAGGUAUCUUAGAAGUUAGUAAAUAAGUUUAUUUUUAGGUUCUUCUUUAUUUGAAAAAUAAAAUUGCAUUUUGAGAUGACAGGUGCUUGAACACUGAAAUAUUCUCUGUGUUCUAUGAAAAAAUAGGGAUCUGGAUAGACAUUUUUCCAUUGUACUUCAUUUUAUCACAAUGGAUCUUAUCCCUUUUAAAUUUAAAAAAUUGAAAUUGCUAGGGAAAAAAACCUGCAGAAUGGAAAUGUUUAGAUUGUAGAUCAAUAAUCAGUUUUUCACUGAUGUGGAAGAAAUUGCUGUUGAUUUUAUCUAAGUUUUGGAUAAUUUUCCCCCCUAUUUCUGACCUACAAUUUAUGAACUGUCCUCUAUUAGGAAAACUAGGCUACUUUCUUAAUGCUUUUCUAAAUUGUAACAGAUUGCCCUGAAUUGUUCCUAGGCCCCUUUUUGCAGAUGAUUAAGUAGUAUUUUCAUGUUUACUUACUGCCAGGCAGUUCUAAAGCUAAGAAUUCUUGCAGUAGAAUGUGCUUAACUGAAACAGUGGUUGAGAUGUUUUUAGGAGGAAAAAUAUAAAAGGAAAUGUCCUGAUAAUGGUACUGGUUUUUUCAUUAUAAAUGUUAAGUAGUCAUUUGGAAAUUUGCAUCCACUAACCAAGCCUGAUAGAAGCCUGGGUUCUGUGUUUUUUGGCAUAUGUUGGAAAAUGGCACAUCUAGAGGGAGGCAGGGAUUUUGGUGUGUGCCUUUAAUAACUAGUUACGUGUAAUUGUACUGAUAUUUCCCAUAUGGGGCUCGUAUUUGCACGGUCUUACAAAAUUUGCCAGUGCAUCUUGAAGAUCCAGUUCUACCCUUCCCUGAACCCUCCAUUCCAAGUGACGUUUUGUCAAAAUGUGCGUCACUUUAUUUCUGAAUACAUGAAGUGCAUGAGUAUGUUUUUUCCUUGAUAAGACAGAGUAUACAGAGUAUUAGACUGGUAGGAAACCUAAUUUUGCACCUGUUACAAUAGAGUGUAGCUCCUAUCAUUUAGAAGGUUGUCAUUUAUGUUCUAAUUCAGUGUCCUCAACCUACAUGUGCUGCAGUAAAAAAUUAGUGUGAGGAAAAAGCAACCUUUUCUCACUCUGAGUAAUGUGUCUUAUCAGUGUUCUUAGCACAGAGGUAUUGCAAAAACAGGUAAUUUCAUUGAGAAAUACUACCUGAUUAUUGUCAUAAAAUAAAUGUAAGAUGUCCCUAUUGUUGAGUUAAAUUUUUUGGGAAAAAAUAUCUCUGCUAGUAUUUUGAAAACCAAAAUAUUCCUAGAGAACAAGCCUGUAUUACUCAGGGAAAGUUUACUUUGCAGGUAAACUUACCCAAGCAGAAAUAUACUUGUACUAAUUUUGUGUUUUUAAAUUUAGAGUUUACUGAUCAAGAUGACGGGCUUAUAUAACGUAUGUAUGACUUCCUUAUUUUGCCGAUUCCUGUGUCCCUUUGUGAAGGGCAGUAUCUAUUCCUGUGUCCCUUUGUGAAGGGCAGUAUUUAUCUGUAGCUCAGUGCUCCUCACACUGUCAUCCUACCCUAUCUUCUGCAGAGACACAGGAAGUAGGGGCAGAUGAUACUGGCAUUUGUGAUUUCCCUUAUCCAGAAUGCUUCAGCAUUCUUUAAGUUAAGCUCACACAUAUACACCAGUAACCAAAAUACUGUGGCUUUUGUGCACCUUUGUGAAGCAGCCAAAGGUAGUUGAUCAGAGUUCUAUAUUUUUACCAUAUACUAUGGAAUAAUCAAUUUUAUAGUGAUUAUUAAUAUGAUCACAUCCUCUUAUAUAAUGUUGGGAUUCAAGAACAAAAAUAUUUCGUGGCUUAACAUGGAAUUUUAAAUCAAAGGGGAGUGUCCUAAGAAAGAGUCUCAUUCUGCCUCUCAUUUUACAGAAGAGAAAAUUAGAAGCUCAGAAAAACUCUCAUUUACUCAAGGUCACAGAGAUAGUGGUAAAGUCGAGGCUAGAAUCCAGGUCUUCUGACUCCAAGUCUAGGGAGAAUUCUUUCGACCCCGUCAUGCUGCCUGUCCCUCCUUGGAAGAUUUGCCUUUCUGUAAACGUGAUGAAAAGCAUCUGUAAAUAAGGGACAUCUGACCUCCAUUUUUGGUACAUUAAGGCACUUUAUAAAUGGAGUUUUAUUGUUUUAUUUUUCAUAUCUAAUUAUGAGGUUUAGAAUAUUAUCUUCCAUAGUAUUCUUUAUGGAAGCUAUAAUUAAUUUUUUUACCCUUUUUUACUUUUUUACUCUUGUGAAACUAGUUCCUGAUUUUUACAAAGUAACAUCUAUGCAUUGGAUACUUUUAACUUGAGAGUGAAGUUUUCUGUUAAUUGCCCUAGGAUAAAUCAAAGUCCUAUUUAAGGAUUGCUUAGUUUCUUGUUUCAUUUAUAUUUUGUGAACGGGUACUUUUUUAGAAACGAGGCUAAUUCACAGGUCGUAUCAUUUCAGUCUUGUUACUUUAGUUUUCAGUCACUGGAGACCUUUUGAAUUUUUCACAUUAUUCCAAAAGCCACCCCAAAUUGGGCAUUGAAUGUUACAUAGAGCAAAUCUUUUAAUUCGAUAGGGUGAAAAUUUAAGAAUCUCAGAACAAAACUGCUACUUUCAAUUCUUCAUUAAAAGCAUUCAUUACAUUGUUUUCUGUUACUGUCUUUGAAACACAUUAUUUUCCAAUUCACAAGAAC